Molecule: ribosomal RNA, 429 nt
Filed under: Bacteroidota bacterium
Lineage: Bacteria; Pseudomonadati; Bacteroidota
Description: Bacteroidetes bacterium partial 16S ribosomal RNA
Rfam family: Bacterial small subunit ribosomal RNA
Source: RNAcentral
UAGGGAAUCUUCGGCAAUGGGGGGAACCCUGACCGAGCAACGCCGCGUGAGUGAAGAAGGUUUUCGGAUCGUAAAGCUCUGUUGUUAAGGAAGAACGAGUGUGAGAAUGGAAAGUUCAUACUUUGACGGUACUUAACCAGAAAGGGACGGCUAACUACGUGCCAGCAGCCGCGGUAAUACGUAGGUCCCGAGCGUUGUCCGGAUUUAUUGGGCGUAAAGCGAGCGCAGGCGGUUAGAUAAGUCUGAAGUUAAAGGCAGUGGCUCAACCAUUGUAGGCUUUGGAAACUGUUUAACUUGAGUGCAGAAGGGGAGAGUGGAAUUCCAUGUGUAGCGGUGAAAUGCGUAGAUAUAUGGAGGAACACCGGUGGCGAAAGCGGCUCUCUGGUCUGUAACUGACGCUGAGGCUCGAAAGCGUGGGGAGCGAACAGG